CCUCUUGAUGAUGAGUCUAUGGUGUCCUACAUCUUAGCUGGACUCGACAUUGACUACAAUCUGCUGGUAUCCACUAUUGUUGGUCGUUCUGAUCCAAUCUCUUUGAGUGAUCUGUAUUCCUAGAUGGUGAGGUACGACA
Molecule: small nucleolar RNA, 139 nt
Filed under: Oryza rufipogon (brownbeard rice)
Lineage: Eukaryota; Viridiplantae; Streptophyta; Magnoliopsida; Poales; Poaceae
Description: Small nucleolar RNA Z247
Rfam family: Small nucleolar RNA Z247
About the family: Z247 is a member of the C/D class of snoRNA which contain the C (UGAUGA) and D (CUGA) box motifs.
Source: Rfam by way of RNAcentral